This 84-nucleotide non-coding RNA is filed under the name Nephroselmis pyriformis. Lineage: Eukaryota; Viridiplantae; Chlorophyta; Nephroselmidophyceae; Nephroselmidales; Nephroselmidaceae. The record is from RNAcentral.
AAGUUUUUAUGAGAAAAGUCUGGGCUCUCUAUACAGUGUCGGUUAAUCUGCCAAUAAAAAUAAUUUUAAGGAAAGUUUUACAGA